This is a long non-coding RNA of Sarcophilus harrisii (Tasmanian devil), 942 nucleotides long. RefSeq lists it as uncharacterized. The record is from RefSeq and is a predicted model, not a curated record. Lineage: Eukaryota; Metazoa; Chordata; Mammalia; Dasyuromorphia; Dasyuridae. The transcript has 3 exons.
CUAGAAAGUAAGUUUCCCCUUAUAGAACCUCAGUUUUCUUAUCCAAAGAAUGAAGGAAUUAAACAACAGAAUUUCCAAGACUCUGUAAGUUCUAAGAGUCUGUGAUUUAAGGAAGGGACUCAGAGAAAGUUCUAUGGAGCAGAAGGCAGUUGAUCUGAGAAGAGAAGGCUUUCAAUAUGCAGAAGUAAAGAAAGACCACAUGCUAGGCAUGGGGAUCACAAAUGCAUAAAGAAAUUCAAUCUAGACUCCUUCAACCAGUUAUUUGCCAAUCUGGUUUGACUACUAGACAACUGGAAGAAUCUCCAAACCCUCCAAGACCUGACCCGGAGCAAAUACCAGCUACUCCCAGAAGUUGAUAAACUGGAUCAAGACCUGACUUUUCAGCCUGAGGACUGCCAUUCAGAGUAGGAACAUUUUAGAUUUCCCAUUUCAACAAUAUAUGGACUUCAGUAUGUACUUUUUACUUUAUCUCAGCAUAAAAACUUUUCUUGUUGAGGACGAAGAAAUUGAUUGGACAAUAGAAUGUCAGAGCUGAAUGAGGCCUCAGAGAGCAGCUUGUCCAGUUCCUUCAUUUUGAAGAAUAGGAAACUAAAGACAAUGUUGAAGAAGUGACUUCUCCAACCUUCCUACAGCAGGAAAUCACAUUAAACUAGUUAUUAGAAUCUAGGCCUAUUGACUCCCAUAUUGCAACUCUUUCUACCAUUUCUGAAUGUACUGAUUCAUUUUGGAUUUUUUCCAGGCAUGUCUCAAACUUCCAUCCAAUAAAAAAUUGCAUCUCUAAGCCUAUUACCCCAAAAUACUCAUUUCAUGGGCAAGAAGCUCUCAGGGCUAUAAAAUAGUAAUGGAGUUGGGGACAGGGGCUCAGCAGAAUCCAGCACUUAGCUUGUACAUAUUUUUAUCUGGCACAGACGUCCCAGGGUCCUCUGGGAUUGAGAAGAAGAC